GAGAAGGAGAAGUUGGGUAACUGUCAACGUUCCGGUUAUUGAAAUUGUGAAGGAGAUGGAUGGGAGAUGAGCCAUGUGUUGGUGUGGUUGGACGGCUAGAGAAAGGUGUGUUUGAUUCAGAGUGUCUUCCGUGUUUAGUCUGGCUCUUUGCCGUGUGAUGCCACUUCUUUAAUGCUGUGGCUACUCUUUCGUUAAAUACUGUUGGCUUCAUCUUAGUACCCAUCUACACACAUUUUUAAUAAACACAAUGUCAGAAAACUAAAGAUCAUAUAUCCAAAACCUGGUUAUGUUACACUCAAUGUUGUGUAGUACCUGAGUAACAAGUGCAUAGAGUGGAAGAGUCACAUAGCUGCAAAGUAUCUGCACAACAACUCUGCAAGAUUUAUAAAAAAAGGGGAAAAGGUUAUUAUACAUUUUCAGCAAAUUCUCAUAAUCAGCAGUCAAGAUAAUGUUAGCUUACCCAACUGCAAUCCUAAUGACCACAUCUGCAUUGCUUUCAUGGAAACAAUUCCUGAGAUUGAACUCAUACUGCAAAUACCAAAAAUUUAGGACGUAACAAUUAGUAUAUAUAUAGUAUACCCCUAAAUAGCAAUGUUUUUAAUGAAAAUGAAUGAGCUCGCUUACCGUACUCCAGGCAAAGAAGGCUAGUUGAAAUGCAUUCUGCAAAGUGAAGAAGUUUGGUACUCAUAAGUUUAUUCUACCAUUAGGAGAAACCGAAAGAGGAUAAAUGAGCGGUGAAGGAUAUAGUAUUGUACCGUAAAGAGGACCAAGUGGAUAAGAAAAAGAAUGAACCGUGGCUUGCCAAACCAGAAGAGGUCAUCACCAGGCUGAACCACCGGAGCACCUCUCACCACAUCACCUUUCUCUUGGAUUCUUAGACCCAAUUUGGUAAUUAUGACUUGAAGCUUUGUUCCAACUAUUAGAAUUACCUGCACUUAUAUACAUUUUGUUAAAAAACUGGCGACGAAAGGACAAAAUCGGAGAAAUGUUUAUCGGUCUAAGAGCUUAUUGUACUUACGAUUAGUGGAAUAAAUGGUAACCAAAGGUAAGAACGUAGUCCUGUUUCAAAAGAAAAUCUAUGUCAGUUUUCUGAAAAUAGUGAUGCAGCUAAGACUUAAUCUGCGUUUAAGCAAUCAACAUUUACCAUUUGUAUUGGUCAAGAGGAAUAGCACCGCGACAAACCAAAUAACCGGACUGCAUAAAGGUGGCAAAGAUUUAAGACAAAAUAUCCAAACUGACUUUGCUCAGACUAUAAAGAAAAUCAUUAUUAGUUCCAAACCUGAUUUCAACAACAGUUUUGAAGUCUUCCUCUAAUGAUCUCUGAAUAUACUUGCGGAAAUCAAAUCUUGAUUCGCUCCCGUGAGCCAAAUGCGCCUGAAAUUUGUAUUUAGAUCAUUGUCUUGAGAGAUAAGUGUCAUAAUAAACAUUAGAUAACGGGAAAAUAGUGAACUCCUUACCAUGAUGAAACCAUGUCUUAGUGCUAAGUAAUCAACUUUGGUGACAGAUCCAAAGAACUGUCUGAAAAAACACACAACCCAUAGUGUAACACUCGACUUACUCCAGAAAUUGAGAUGUCUUCUCCCAAAGGAUGUGUCCCUCGCAAACCUGAACCUCUCAGGAUCUGCAUAACCAGAAGUAUCACUGUAAAUUUCCCAUUUCGGUCUUUAAUAUUUGUGGAAUACUCGGAGUCACAUACCAUUGGAAUACUGAUACUCUAUUGUCUUCGUCUCCUCCUCCCAUGACUUCCACCUCCUCAUCUGCAAUACUCAAGAAAGCAAAUAUUUAAAAAUCUUUGGUCCAUACACUCUUUCUUGAUUCUCGCCUUAGCCACUGUGGGAUUCACAAGAAAUGUUACCUUAGUCUUUCCGAGAGCAUAAGUAACAAUGCAAUAAAUAACAUGAACCACGGCCAGCACAAAGAUGAAUAUAUGCAACUGGUGGAUUCCAUAAGCAGAUACAAAAGCCACUUUCCCCUGAGAAAAUUCAUCAAUCCAAAUCAAAAUCUAUCGGUUUGACAAGCCAAGAAUGAUUUGCAUAUAUAUAUAUGGGAGAUUGUUAGUUACCUUCUCUGCACAUUUGUCAUAACCUUUGGUGGCUAAACUUCGUCUAGGGAUAUAAGAUUCAGCUAACUCAAGAAGAAGUCUUCGACCCGAUUUUUCUCCAUCUCCAUCUCCAUGUUCUUUCUUUGCGGGGUCUUUCUUGUGGUAUUUUCUAGCUUCUUCCGCGGCGCUGCAAGGGUGCAUUGUCGAUGCAACCUGCUCGGAGAUGCAGAUAUUUGAGAUUGGCGUUUGUCCAAUAGUGAGGAGUAGUGAUAUGAAUCCCAACAGCAUAAGCUCUGAAUGAAGUAUAAGUAUAGAAAAUAUUAGAAGCUUGUUAAUAGAUGGAUGAAGUUUAAGUAGAAAAAAGACAGUUUUUUUAGUUACCUGCUUUGACCUUUUCAAGAGCUUCAAAUAGAGCCUUCUUGUGCUUCUUUCUAAACCACUAUAAAAAAGAAUGGGAAGCGAUUUUCAUUAACAGAGCAUUAACCAAAGAAGAAGACAAAGAAACAGAGCAGUAAGCAGAUCAAGAACACACACAAAAAAAAAAACAGAGGCAGAACAGAAAACAGGGGAAUCUUGAAAUAAGGAAAAAAUCAGAACAGGGACUUACGGUUCCAAUUUUGUGAAUCGAAUGUUCGAGAACAAUCGAAAUAAAUAGUAAGACGAAGCAAACCACAGCUACUGCCCACGUAGAGGUCUCUUCUAAAGUCCGCUCCUUAACUUGAUUCGCCAUUGGAGCUUAAUUCUAAGGAAAACCCCCCCAAACGAGACUAUCCUUCUUUCUUUCCAGAGAUCUUGUCUCUUUUUGCUUUUCAACCAAAAGAAGUAAAGAACGAACACACGAGAAGAGACGGAGAUUUCGUGUUCUUCUUGUUUUGCUCUCAAUUUUGAAACUAGUACGCAAACGCAAUUUUUGAAAAAAAGACGCAAAGUUGUGUCGUAAUAAUAUAGAGGAGAGCUAAGAGAGGAGGCGAAAGAGGAAAGGGGGAAUGAAGAAGAAGAAGAUAAGACCCGUAACUAAUAAUGGGAAUGAGAGACUGUUAAGUAAACUAAAGGCUUCUUCUAUGUUAUAACUACGUCGUUCUUCUUUUGAAGAAACGUUCAACGUUUUGACUUUUUUUGGUAUUAUUCCCUCAUGUGACGAGUGACGACGCCUCCCCAACUUAUCACCGUCGCUUUAUUUUCAAGGUCUAUGGCCUUGUUGUUUGUUAUAUUCGGUCAAAUCAUGUGGUUUAACUCGGUUUUGAUAUCCAAGGUCUAGUUUGUCUAAUAUUUAACUUGUGGUUUAACUCGGUUUUGAUAUACUUCAGUUUUUUUAAAUUUUGAUUUAACUCGGUUUUGUUAUUUGGUGUAAUUUUUUCUUAAACAACAAUUGAAUUUUGUGUAUAUCAAAUGACCACUUGAGAGAUACAAUUAUUAGACAUAAGAAUAACGUUUACUAUAAUGGGAUCUCUCGUUGGAAAGUUCGUGCCUUUGAUUUCUUUAGCCUCCCCUAUUCUCAACUUGUUUGUUGUUCUAUCUAAAAUAAUAAGAGAUGUUAAUAUAAUAAGACACUCGUUAGACGACGAAAACGAAUUAUUAUACUCGUUGAAAUAAACUACGUCGGCCAAAAAAUUAUUUUUGAAAGCAACAUUUUGAUAAUGUGGUUGUUCUAUAAUUUUUACACAAAAAAAUUCGUUUUGAAUUACGUGGUUUAGUUUUUUUUUUUUUUUUUUGCUUGCUGUUAAUUUAUAUAAAGCAAUUAUUAUACAAAAGUAGUACUUCAAAUUAUUCGAAAACAGCUUGUACAUACAUAUAUGAACAGAGAUGAAUGCAGCAAUGAUUGAUUCAAAGCAGUACUGAUAGUUAUUUCCAGGGUACGAGAUCAAAUUCUGAAAUCAAGAAACAUCUUUCUUAAAAGAAAAUUUGUCUAAGCUUUUGCUAGUCCUUAUAGGAGGAUGUUCCGCAGAUGCAAGGACCGGCUUCGUUUUCUCCGAGCUUUCAUGCGCAAGAGGAUGAUGUGUGGAAGUUUCAGCUUCUUGGUGUUGAGACUCAGGAUCCCAAAACUGGUGUUCCUGAUGAUGACUAUGACCAGAGUUUGUGGGAGCAGUCGAUGAGUUCUUGACAUUGUGAAGGAGAUGGAUUGGAGAUGAGCCAUGUGUUGGUGUGGUUGGACGGCUAGAGAAAGGUGUGUUUGAUCCCGAGUGUUUUCCGUGUUUAGUCUGGUUCUUCGCCGUCUGAUGCCACUUCUCUAAUGCUGUGGCUACUCCUUCGUUGAAUACUGUUGGCUUCAUUUGAGUACCCAUCUACAUACAUUUUUCAUUAUACACAGUGUCAAAAAAUUAACUAAAGAUCAUAUAUCCAAAAUCUGGGAUGGACGUAACACUAAUUAAGGUUGUGUAGUAC
This 4423-nucleotide long non-coding RNA is filed under the name Capsella rubella. RNAcentral's name for it is "long non-coding RNA (CRUB_LNC004619)". Lineage: Eukaryota; Viridiplantae; Streptophyta; Magnoliopsida; Brassicales; Brassicaceae. The record is from RNAcentral.